RNAcentral lists this ribosomal RNA (462 nucleotides) under Vibrio cholerae HC-1A2. RNAcentral's name for it is "bacterial SSU rRNA". It matches the Rfam family "Bacterial small subunit ribosomal RNA", at positions 8 to 466 of the family's 1533-position model. Lineage: Bacteria; Pseudomonadati; Pseudomonadota; Gammaproteobacteria; Vibrionales; Vibrionaceae. The record is from RNAcentral.
AGAGUUUGAUCAUGGCUCAGAUUGAACGCUGGCGGCAGGCCUAACACAUGCAAGUCGAGCGGCAGCACAGAGGAACUUGUUCCUUGGGUGGCGAGCGGCGGACGGGUGAGUAAUGCCUGGGAAAUUGCCCGGUAGAGGGGGAUAACCAUUGGAAACGAUGGCUAAUACCGCAUAACCUCGCAAGAGCAAAGCAGGGGACCUUCGGGCCUUGCGCUACCGGAUAUGCCCAGGUGGGAUUAGCUAGUUGGUGAGGUAAGGGCUCACCAAGGCGACGAUCCCUAGCUGGUCUGAGAGGAUGAUCAGCCACACUGGAACUGAGACACGGUCCAGACUCCUACGGGAGGCAGCAGUGGGGAAUAUUGCACAAUGGGCGCAAGCCUGAUGCAGCCAUGCCGCGUGUAUGAAGAAGGCCUUCGGGUUGUAAAGUACUUUCAGUAGGGAGGAAGAUGGUUAAGUUAAUAC